Molecule: non-coding RNA, 207 nt
Organism: Pelobates cultripes (western spadefoot toad)
Lineage: Eukaryota; Metazoa; Chordata; Amphibia; Anura; Pelobatidae
Source: the annotation of a GenBank genome assembly
AUAAGAUAGUGAAUCUUAUUUAGGAAAGUAAAAAUUCGACAAAUGUAAAAUCUGGUAGAAUUAUUCUUAUUGGAUGGUUCUAGGAAUGGUUGAUGAUCUGGUAUGAACAUUACUUUAAUUGUAAAAUUACAAAAUAAUAGGAUAUAUUGCCUAUGAGGAUUGUAGCCAGCAGUGAAAGGGUAAAUUCAGUGUGGUCUAACUGUCAGC